This 452-nucleotide small RNA is filed under the name Drosophila mojavensis. RNAcentral describes it as "GI26597". Lineage: Eukaryota; Metazoa; Arthropoda; Insecta; Diptera; Drosophilidae. The record is from RNAcentral.
ACAUCGCAAGUGCGAUCGUGAAAGCGAUAGUGCAUCACUGCGUUUAUAUGUCUAUCGAUAUGCAAAGACAAAACAUAUGUUGUAAAAGCAUAUGGUGCGAAAAGUGAAGUGCAUUAAUUGCAAAAUUGCAACUGGAAACAGCUUACUACCAAGUACAAGAGAGUAUGUGCACUACAAGGCAGAGAUGUGUGUGAAAGCAAGCUAACUGCAAGGUUAUGUUAAUUAUGCAAAUGUAAAUAAAAGUGUUGAUACUUAAUAUUUUUUGUUUUUCUUUGCAGUAUAUCAUCCAGUGGUACAAGAAGAAGUAGCUGAGAAGACUCCGCGUCCCAAACAUCGAGUAGUGCCGCUAGUUUAGUUAAGUGCGUUUGUGUUGAUAUUAGUCAGUGCACUGUAGUAUUUGUUUACUGCAUGUAUGUCUAUACAUGCAAAAUAAAACUUUAAUUGAAUAUAAA